UGCGCCUUGCCACGCCCGCUCAGAAACUUAAAGGAAUUGACGGGACCCCGCACAAGCGGUGGAUCAUGUUGUUUAAUUCGAUGAUACGCGAAGAACCUUACCAGGUCUUGACAUCCCCCGCGAUGCUUUAGAGAUAAAGCGGAGGUAUUCGGGGAGACAGGUGGUGCAUGGUUGUCGUCAGCUCGUGUCGUGAGAUGUUGGGUUAAGUCCCGCAACGAGCGCAACCCCUAUUGCUAGUUACCAUCAUUAAGUUGGGGACUCUAGCGAGACUGCCAGUGAUAAACUGGAGGAAGGUGGGGAUGACGUCAAAUCAUCAUGCCCCUUAUGACCUGGGCUACAAACGUGAUACAAUGGCUGGAACAAAGGGAUGCGAAGCAGUGAUGUGGAGCGAAACCCAUAAAAACAGUCUCAGUUCGGAUUGAAGUCUGCAACUCGACUUCAUGAAGUCGGAAUCGCUAGUAAUCGCGGAUCAGAACGCCGCGGUGAAUACGUUCUCGGGGUUU
This 503-nucleotide ribosomal RNA is filed under the name uncultured Acholeplasma sp. RNAcentral's name for it is "bacterial SSU rRNA". It matches the Rfam family "Bacterial small subunit ribosomal RNA", at positions 903 to 1382 of the family's 1533-position model. Lineage: Bacteria; Bacillati; Mycoplasmatota; Mollicutes; Acholeplasmatales; Acholeplasmataceae. The record is from RNAcentral.